CCUCUUUUGGAUUCUUAAGACCACCCUUGUAGUAGGAUACCGUCUGCUUUGGGUUCUUUAUUAUAUUAUCUCCUUCGAGGGAUUUUUAGGAUCGUUUAGGCUAUAUUUAGUCUAUUUUGGCUAUGGAAUAUAUGACAAAGGUGGAGUCUUGGAG
RNAcentral lists this microRNA precursor (154 nucleotides) under Oryza sativa (Asian cultivated rice). RNAcentral describes it as "miR5532 stem-loop (osa-MIR5532)". Lineage: Eukaryota; Viridiplantae; Streptophyta; Magnoliopsida; Poales; Poaceae. The record is from miRBase by way of RNAcentral.